RNAcentral lists this ribosomal RNA (243 nucleotides) under Limosilactobacillus reuteri. Its description in RNAcentral is "Lactobacillus reuteri partial 23S ribosomal RNA". It matches the Rfam family "Bacterial large subunit ribosomal RNA", at positions 2396 to 2636 of the family's 2925-position model. The record is from RNAcentral. Lineage: Bacteria; Bacillati; Bacillota; Bacilli; Lactobacillales; Lactobacillaceae.
GGGAGGAAGGUGGGUUGUUGUGUUGCGUGUGGUGGCGGUUGGAUGGGCCAGCGGUUAAGGGAGAUGAGCUACCCUGGGGUUGACGGGCUUAUCUCCCCCGAGAGGUCGGCAGCGAGGGGUGGGUUUGGCACUUCGAUGUCGGUUCUUCGCGUCGUGGGGCUGUAGGCGGUCCCAAGGGUUGGGCUGUUCGCCCAUGAAAGCGGUACGCGAGCGGGGUUCAGAGCGUCGUGGGAUAGUUCGGUC